RNAcentral lists this ribosomal RNA (253 nucleotides) under uncultured bacterium. RNAcentral's name for it is "partial 16S ribosomal RNA". It matches the Rfam family "Bacterial small subunit ribosomal RNA", at positions 524 to 776 of the family's 1533-position model. The record is from RNAcentral.
UACAGAGGUGGCAAGCGUUGCUCGGUAUCACUGGGCUUAAAGGGCGCGUAGGCGGUGCGGUACGGUUUCGGUGAAAUCCCUCGGCCCAACCGAGGAACAGCCGGAGCUACGGCCGGACUAGACGGCAUCAGGGGACAGUGGAACUCCCGGUGGAGCGGUGAAAUGCGUAGAUAUCGGGAGGAACGCCGGUGGCGAAAGCGACUGUCUGGGGUGCCUGUGACGCUGAGGCGCGAAAGCGUGGGGAGCGAACAGG